GAUGAACGCUGGCGGCGUGCCUAAUACAUGCAAGUCGAGCGAACAGACGAGGAGCUUGCUCCUCUGACGUUAGCGGCGGACGGGUGAGUAACACGUGGAUAACCUACCUAUAAGACUGGGAUAACUUCGGGAAACCGGAGCUAAUACCGGAUAAUAUAUUGAACCGCAUGGUUCAAUAGUGAAAGACGGUUUUGCUGUCACUUAUAGAUGGAUCCGCGCCGCAUUAGCUAGUUGGUAAGGUAACGGCUUACCAAGGCGACGAUGCGUAGCCGACCUGAGAGGGUGAUCGCCCACCCUGGAACUGAGACACGGUCCAGACUCCUACGGGAGGCAGCAGUAGGGAAUCUUCCGCAAUGGGCGAAAGCCUGACGGAGCAACGCCGCGUGAGUGAUGAAGGUCUUCGGAUCGUAAAACUCUGUUAUUAGGGAAGAACAAAUGUGUAAGUAACUAUGCACGUCUUGACGGUACCUAAUCAGAAAGCCACGGCUAACUACGUG
RNAcentral lists this ribosomal RNA (497 nucleotides) under uncultured bacterium. Its description in RNAcentral is "partial 16S ribosomal RNA". It matches the Rfam family "Bacterial small subunit ribosomal RNA", at positions 28 to 507 of the family's 1533-position model. The record is from RNAcentral.